Molecule: ribosomal RNA, 642 nt
Filed under: uncultured marine archaeon
Lineage: Archaea
Description: bacterial SSU rRNA
Rfam family: Archaeal small subunit ribosomal RNA
Source: RNAcentral
UGCUAUCGGAUUGAUACUAAGCCAUGCGAGUCAUUGUAGUAAUACAAGGCAGACGGCUCAGUAACGCGUAGUCAACCUAACCUAUGGACGGGAAUAACCUCGGGAAACUGAGUAUAAUGCCCGAUAGAACAUUAUGCCUGGAAUGGUUUAUGUUCCAAAUGAUUUAUCGCCGUAGGAUGGGACUGCGGCCUAUCAGUUUGUUGGUGAGGUAAUGGCCCACCAAGACUAUUACAGGUACGGGCUCUGAGAGGAGUGGCCCGGAGAUGGGUACUGAGACACGGACCCAGGCCCUAUGGGGCGCAGCAGGCGAGAAAACUUUGCAAUGUGCGAAAGCACGACAAGGUUAAUCCGAGUGGUUUCUGCUAAAGGAACCUUUUGUCAGUCCUAGAAACACCGAUGAAUAAGGGGUGGGCAAGUUCUGGUGUCAGCCGCCGCGGUAAAACCAGCACCUCAAGUGGUCAGGAUGAUUAUUGGGCCUAAAGCAUCCGUAGCCGGCUUUGUUAGUUUUCGGUUAAAUCUGUACGCUUAACGUACAGGCUGCCGGGAAUACUGCAGAGCUAGGGAGUGGGAGAGGUAGACGGUACUCGGUAGGAAGGGGUAAAAAUCCUUUGAUCUAUUGAUGACCACCUGUGGCGAAGGCGG